This is a long non-coding RNA of Pongo pygmaeus (Bornean orangutan), 942 nucleotides long. RefSeq lists it as uncharacterized. Lineage: Eukaryota; Metazoa; Chordata; Mammalia; Primates; Hominidae. The transcript has 3 exons. The record is from RefSeq and is a predicted model, not a curated record.
CUCUUCAGUCAUGUCGGCCAGGUGCUUCCCAGGCCAGCACUGCCCCGCCCCUGCAUGAGCCGGGGAUGGGAGUUUGGAAACUGCUCCCCAUAGGCGGCCGGAGAGGAACGUGAAUCUUUGUCUGUUUCACUCCUCAGCAGCUCACUCUUGGUCCCAGGAGGAAAACAAGAAGGUUAACCAGGCACAACCCAGAGGUAGACAGGGUCUCACUGCGUGCCUGUAGUGCCAGCUACUCAGGAGACUGAGGUGGGAGGAUCUCUUGAGCCCAGGAGGUCGAGGCGGCAGUGGCCCGUGAUUGCACCACUGUACUCAAGUCUGUCUGCACUACCAUUGUGAGCCGUAACACUCACUGCGAAGGUCUGCCGCUUCACUCCUGAAGUCAGCAAGACCACAAACCCACCAGAAAGAAGAAAUUCCAGACACAUCUGAACAUCUGAAGGAACAAACUCCGGACACACUAUCUUUAAGAACUGUAACACUCACCACGAGGGUCUGUGGCUUCAUUCCUGAAGUCAGCGAGACUGAGAACCCAUGGGAAGGAACCAAUUCCGGACGCACUGGGUUCACGCCAUUCUCCUGCCUCAGCCUCCCGAGUAGCUGGGACUACAGGUGCCUGCCCACCAUGUCCCGGUAAUUUUUUGUAUUUUUAGUACAGACGGGGUUUCACCCUGUUAGCCAGGAUAGUCUCGAUCUCCUGACCUCGUGAUCCACCCGCCUUGGCUUCCCAAAGUGCUGGGAUUACAGGUGUGAGCCACUGUGCCCGGCCUUUUUUUAAGUCUCAAUAUGGGAUUUCCAUAAAACUUAAUCCGUACUCCACAAUGCAACUUUUUAUAAUCAAUAAAAUUGGCAAGUUUGUUUGCUUCCUAACAAUUUAGAAGGACUUUCAGAAAAUUUGGCUGGUCAAAACCUAUUUUUACAUCUAGCCAAAUGGUUAUCUCUAGA